GCAAAGGCACCUUUAAAGUCAGAGUAUGUGGUACAGCCAAACCUGGAGGUCACAAAACAUGCAAACAUAGUAUCCAUAUUCUUGAAAAUUUCUUCUCCCUGCCUCAACAACUACUGGGGGUUGGAUGCAGGGCUCUUAUCUUCAACGGAUUCACACAUUUGUUCAUGAUGGCCGGCUGCGUGUUUGUCUGAUUCUCUUGUUUGAAUUGAACCAUACAGCUAGCCAUUUCUGCAGUAUAGCAGUUUUCAAAUUAUGAUUAAAUCUUUCUCUUCUUACAUUUUAUGAGUUUUAAUGGCACUUAUAUCUCGUAAUUGCUCAUUCUUGUUAGUAUUGUCUUGUUUUUCUGAUAAAAAUGCCUGAUAUAAUUACAGUUUAUUGAAAAUCAUGUCAUUUUUUUUUUAUAUAUAUAUAUGCUAUUGGGGGAUAACUUUCUAACCUUCCUUUCCUGCACAUUCCCAUUUAUUCGUA
Etheostoma cragini (Arkansas darter) is the source of this 468-nucleotide long non-coding RNA. RefSeq lists it as uncharacterized. NCBI's taxonomy places the organism in Eukaryota, Metazoa, Chordata, Actinopteri, Perciformes, Percidae. The transcript is spliced from 3 exons. The record is from RefSeq and is a predicted model, not a curated record.